CCUUCGAUAGCUCAGUUGGUAGAGCGGGGGACUGUAGAUUUAUAAUUGUGAUCCCUAGGUCGCUGGUUCGAAUCCGGCUUGAAGGA
RNAcentral lists this transfer RNA (86 nucleotides) under Nematostella vectensis (starlet sea anemone). It matches the Rfam family "tRNA". Rfam says of the family: Transfer RNA (tRNA) molecules are approximately 80 nucleotides in length. Lineage: Eukaryota; Metazoa; Cnidaria; Anthozoa; Actiniaria; Edwardsiidae. The record is from Rfam by way of RNAcentral.